Molecule: ribosomal RNA, 492 nt
Filed under: uncultured bacterium
Lineage: Bacteria
Description: partial 16S ribosomal RNA
Rfam family: Bacterial small subunit ribosomal RNA
Source: RNAcentral
AGUGAACGCUGGCGGUAGGCCUAACACAUGCAAGUCGAACGGCAGCACAGUAAGAGCUUGCUCUUACGGGUGGCGAGUGGCGGACGGGUGAGGAAUACAUCGGAAUCUACUUUUUCGUGGGGGAUAACGUAGGGAAACUUACGCUAAUACCGCAUACGACCUACGGGUGAAAGCAGGGGAUCUUCGGACCUUGCGCGAUUGAAUGAGCCGAUGUCGGAUUAGCUAGUUGGCGGGGUAAAGGCCCACCAAGGCGACGAUCCGUAGCUGGUCUGAGAGGAUGAUCAGCCACACUGGAACUGAGACACGGUCCAGACUCCUACGGGAGGCAGCAGUGGGGAAUAUUGGGCAAUGGGCGCAAGCCUGAUCCAGCCAUACCGCGUGGGUGAAGAAGGCCUUCGGGUUGUAAAGCCCUUUUGUUGGGAAAGAAAAGCAGCAGGUUAAUACCCCGCUGUUCUGACGGUACCCAAAAAAUAAGCACCGGCUAACUUCGUG